This 498-nucleotide ribosomal RNA is filed under the name uncultured bacterium. RNAcentral's name for it is "partial 16S ribosomal RNA". It matches the Rfam family "Bacterial small subunit ribosomal RNA", at positions 30 to 523 of the family's 1533-position model. The record is from RNAcentral.
AUUGAACGCUGGCGGCAUGCCUUACACAUGCAAGUCGAACGGUAACAGGUCUUCGGAUGCUGACGAGUGGCGAACGGGUGAGUAAUACAUCGGAACGUGCCUAGUAGUGGGGGAUAACUACUCGAAAGAGUGGCUAAUACCGCAUGAGAUCUACGGAUGAAAGCAGGGGAUCGCAAGACCUUGUGCUACUAGAGCGGCAGAUGGCAGAUUAGGUAGUUGGUGGGAUAAAAGCUUACCAAGCCGACGAUCUGUAGCUGGUCUGAGAGGACAGUCAGCCACACUGGGACUGAGACACGGCCAAGACUCCUACGGGAGGCAGCAGUGGGGAAUUUUGGACAAUGGGCGCAAGCCUGAUCCAGCAAUGCCGCGUGCAGGAUGAAGGCCUUCGGGUUGUAAACUGCUUUUGUACGGAACGAAAAGCCCCGGGUUAAUACCCUGGGGUCAUGACGGUACCGUAAGAAUAAGCACCGGCUAACUACGUGCCAGCCGCCGCCGUAA